CAAGAGACACUGAGAAUUAGGGGCGAAGAAGGCUGUUCAGUUAAGGAGGGGACAUGGCCCUGGAGGAGUAGGCUGUGCCCUGGUGGGAGGGGAAAGGGUGGCCCUCCUCUGCCCUGGGUCUAAGGCCAGAAGGCUCCAUUGUCUCUAGUCUGACCUGCUGCAUGACACCAGUCAUAGGACUUCCCGGUGUUAAUUAAUUCCUGCUUCCAGUCCAAUAGCUGUGGCUGAACUAGAGCAGACCUUUUGGAAAAACGUCCAGUCCGGAUUUAAAAAUGUCCAGUGAUGGAGAAUUCACCACAGCCCUCGGAUCACGUCCGCCCUUUUGGUCACAGUAUUGCACUGGAAGCUCACAUUCAACUGAUUAUCCGUCAUGAUGACCCCUGAAGUCUUUUUCACAAUCACUGCUUCCCAGAGCUUACUUCCUCUGGCACCUGGAACACGCUGAAACCAGAGCCUUCUGCCAACUGGGCAUUUAAAGAGGAAGAAAUUCAGGAAAUACAUGACUGUAUGGGAACCAUUCUGGUAUCGGUUCCACAGGUGUAAAGAACCGUAGAGGUACAAGCGGCAGAGAUCUGGCCAUCAGGUGCUAGAGGAACAUGGUGGCUACAUUUGCAGCACUACCAAUUCCUGGAACUCCUGAUCUCAAGCAGCGCUAAGUUGAAGUGCUGCUGUCUCCUGGAAAAGUGUAUGAAACAUUCCUUUAUUUAAGGCAUUAUUUUAUUUUGCCAAUGUGUCAGCCCAGAGAGUGGGUGUAUGUAUUCUAUCAGCAGGUGGGAAAAGGACAAGGCAAAACUCUUUGUGACUUUAUUUCACCUGUGAAGGUUGCUGAGGAUGGAACAGGUGAUAAUGGAGGGACCAGUGACCCUGAAGACAAAUAUCACUUCUGCCGGGUAGCUGGGUGGAUUUUUGAAAAUAGGCAGUCUGCUAGUACAGCACAGCUAUCCUGCACUCUAAUGACAAUAUCUCUCUGUGAGGAGGGGAAUUCUUGUGUCUGCUCUCUGGCCUCUCAGUUCCUGACUUUUACCCAGGAUGCUGUGGCUAGUUCAGUCCCUUGGACGCUUUUAUUCAGUUUUUGAGCUCUUAAUUAAAAGGUGGGUCCAAUGAACACAUUCCCACACUAGAUCCUAGCAUUGUGCUGGGGCACAUUUGCAUGAAAAACAGGAUCUUUGCUUCUUGAGAGUUCAUCCUUAUUCUUGCUCCUUUAUUCCUUGUCUGGAGUGAUGACCCUUUGCUGGCUGUGACAUCAGAAUUGAUGGCUGGAGAAAUGAUUGAUUUCACAGGUUAAGGAUUAUGACCUGAAAUGGUGGGAGAGGGAAAGUGGCUGAGCAGAUGCCUGAAGGAGGCAGGGGGGAUGGAUGGCUUUGCCAAUAAAGGUGGAAGGAGCAAAUUUGUGAAUAUAUAGCUCUCUUUGCACAAGCAAAAUUUCCAGUCGUCAGCAGGAGCUUUGCCUGAGUAAGUGCAGAGAAGCUGAAAGUUUUGCAGCUGAAAUGUUUUUCAGGUUUGCCAUAUCAAUUGGUUGGUUGGUUGGUUUUUUUUUUUGUUUUCAAUGCAGCAAUUCUUGGUUCCCAGGAUGUAGAGGGGAGUUGGGUUGUUUUGUUUGCAUUACCCCCACAUAGACACAGUAAAAUUGUGUCCAUCCUGGACACCCAGCUUUUUGUUGCCUCUUGUAUGGUAGCUAGCUCUUGGCCUUGCAUUUCAAUUCCUUAUAGCCUGAUCCAAGUUUUGUUUUCAUAUUCCAUUUCUUUGCAGGCCUCCUUCAAAGUUAUAGUCCUCUCACUGGUGACUUUUUGCACCUGCCUCAACAUCUUACAGUAUUUCACUUUUGUACAUUGUGUAGAGGUCUCAGCCUUUGGGUUUCACGCAUUGUUAUUGCUUGUAAAGGUCUUGAUUGUUAAUCUGAGUGCAGAAGCUGGGUAUGGUCACAGUGCAGACCUUUUUUGGCCACAUCUGCUUCCCUCUCAAGGCUCAAUGAAUUCUGGACAGGGAUUUCAUUACCCGGCUGCACAAUCUGCCAACACAACCUUGUCAUUGUAAUUUGUCACACAUAUUUUAUAUGUGUUCUGUAUUUCACUGAAGUCGCAUUUCCCAGGCAAUUCAUAUACAGGCUACUUGUUUGGUACAUAGAUCAACUUCAUGUGUCCUUGGCCAACAUUGUGUUUUCACCUACAGUUGUGCCACAUGUUGGUGGAGGUUGGCUGCCUGUCUUUACCCUAGAAGUGGUUGCAUUUCAGUGGAGCAUUGUGUCCCUUUGAUACAAUGUGCUUUGAGUUCUACAUGUAAAAUAGAAAUGGGCUUGAGCCAAGAAUAUAGAUCUAACUAGAGCUGGUCAACCUUUUUCUGUAAAAGGUCUAUUUAUUUUAAUGGAAGAUAGCUAUUUUAC
This is a long non-coding RNA of Dermochelys coriacea (leatherback sea turtle), 2380 nucleotides long. RefSeq lists it as uncharacterized. NCBI's taxonomy places the organism in Eukaryota, Metazoa, Chordata, Testudines, Dermochelyidae. The transcript has 4 exons. The record is from RefSeq and is a predicted model, not a curated record.